AGUGUAAUUUCUGGGUCUUAUGAUAACUGUUUAACAUUUUGAGGAACUGCUGAGCUAUUUUCCAAAGCAGCUGCACCAUUUUACAUCCCUACCAGCAAU
This 99-nucleotide microRNA precursor is filed under the name Marmota monax (woodchuck). Lineage: Eukaryota; Metazoa; Chordata; Mammalia; Rodentia; Sciuridae. The record is from RNAcentral.